This 395-nucleotide ribosomal RNA is filed under the name Leptolyngbya valderiana BEA 0039B. Its description in RNAcentral is "bacterial SSU rRNA". It matches the Rfam family "Bacterial small subunit ribosomal RNA", at positions 376 to 786 of the family's 1533-position model. Lineage: Bacteria; Bacillati; Cyanobacteriota; Cyanophyceae; Leptolyngbyales; Leptolyngbyaceae. The record is from RNAcentral.
CGAAAGCCUGACGGAGCAAGACCGCGUGAGGGAGGAAGGUCUGUGGAUUGUAAACCUCUUUUCUCAGGGAAGAAGAACUGACGGUACCUGAGGAAUCAGCAUCGGCUAACUCCGUGCCAGCAGCCGCGGUAAUACGGAGGAUGCAAGCGUUAUCCGGAAUUAUUGGGCGUAAAGCGUCCGUAGGUGGCUAAGCAAGUCUGCUGUUAAAGAGCGGAGCUAAACUCCGUAAAGGCGGUGGAAACUGCAUAGCUAGAGUGUGGUAGGGGUAGAGGGAAUUCCCAGUGUAGCGGUGAAAUGCGUAGAUAUUGGGAAGAACACCGGUGGCGAAGGCGCUCUACUGGGCCACAACUGACACUGAUGGACGAAAGCUAGGGGAGCGAAUGGGAUUAGAUACC